GGAGGAAGGUGGGGAUGACGUCAAGUCAUCAUGGCCCUUACGGCCUGGGCUACACACGUGCUACAAUGGUCGGUACAAAGGGUUGCCAAGCCGCGAGGUGGAGCUAAUCCCAUAAAACCGAUCGUAGUCCGGAUCGCAGUCUGCAACUCGACUGCGUGAAGUCGGAAUCGCUAGUAAUCGUGAAUCAGAAUGUCACGGUGAAUACGUUCCCGGGCCUUGUACACACCGCCCGU
This 233-nucleotide ribosomal RNA is filed under the name Pseudomonas sp. RNAcentral describes it as "partial 16S ribosomal RNA". It matches the Rfam family "Bacterial small subunit ribosomal RNA", at positions 1165 to 1397 of the family's 1533-position model. Lineage: Bacteria; Pseudomonadati; Pseudomonadota; Gammaproteobacteria; Pseudomonadales; Pseudomonadaceae. The record is from RNAcentral.